CGUGUAGGCGGGAAUACAAGUCAGAUGUGAAAUCCCGGGGCCCAACCCCGGAACUGCAUUCGAAACUGCCUGGCUAGAGUCCCGGAGAGGAAGGCGGAAUUCCCGGUGUAGAGGUGAAAUUCGUAGAUAUCGGGAGGAACACCAGUGGCGAAGGCGGCCUUCUGGACGGUGACUGACGCUGAGACGCGAAAGCGUGGGGAGCAAACAGGAUUAGAUACCCUGGUAGUCC
Molecule: ribosomal RNA, 229 nt
Filed under: uncultured bacterium
Lineage: Bacteria
Description: partial 16S ribosomal RNA
Rfam family: Bacterial small subunit ribosomal RNA
Source: RNAcentral